GCCUAAGAAACAUUAAAACAGAAGAUAUAAACUAGGAAGGUGUACUCUUACACUGAAUCUGUUUUCUUCUAAUCAAAUGAAAUGAAAUGAAUUUCAGUUGCCUAAUGUUCUUAUCAGGCAAGACAGAGCAAAUAGAAACAAAAUAUAUUUCUCAUUUUUCAUCAGUGAUUCUCAGGAUGAUUAUUAUCUUUGACAGACAACAAGAAAGCCAGAGUGCCAAACAUCUUAUAAGAAUUGGAUAAACUUCUUUUCCAAAACUACUGUUUACUACUCUUAACAAGCUACUACUACAGGACAUUUUGAAGUUGUGCAGGUUUGAAGGAAAAAAAGAUAAAAAGAUUAAAAAUGGAAGGCUGCCAACAGGAUGAGAAACCAUAUGGGGAGACAGAAACUGGAAAAGGGGGAAAUGCUACCAGUUUGGACCGGUUCGCCCGAACAGGAAGCAGCAGCGGCACAUGGUUUGGAGAACUGGUAGCGGCGGCAGCCAGUUGUAAAUCCAGCUGCUGACAAGAGAGAAAGAAAGAAAUCCAUGGCAGUAUAACUCUAAAAAGUAAUUCUUAUUAGUUCAUGUGCAAGCAAAACAAUGUUUGUUUUCUUUUUACACUAUAUAGCCAAUAUAUUUUCCC
Long non-coding RNA from Ahaetulla prasina, 626 nucleotides. RefSeq lists it as uncharacterized. The transcript has 4 exons. The record is from RefSeq and is a predicted model, not a curated record. NCBI's taxonomy places the organism in Eukaryota, Metazoa, Chordata, Lepidosauria, Squamata, Colubridae.